UCUCCUGCGGUGUUGUGAGAAAACCUCUUGGACAUGUUCUCAAACGCUCCACUUUUACUUGUGGAUCACGUCUGGAUUGUAUUUCAUUGCUAUGAUGGGCUUGAUCUUCUCAGUCAUCAUGGUGAAGCAGAUCCGUCCCACCGGAUCAGAUCGGAUCCGUCAACGCCGUCACACCGUCGGAGCAGCUGUAGAAAUGACCACUGACUGAAAUGAAGCUCCGUGUUCUGGACGUCUGUGACUCCAUGCAAAACGUUAUUUCCUCAGAUUAUUUGCCAUAAAAUGUUUUGCUUUUAAAACAGAACCCAUUAAACUUGUUGCAAUCAUCGA
Molecule: long non-coding RNA, 327 nt
Organism: Poecilia latipinna (sailfin molly)
Lineage: Eukaryota; Metazoa; Chordata; Actinopteri; Cyprinodontiformes; Poeciliidae
Exons: 2
Source: RefSeq, a predicted model, not a curated record